Pelobates cultripes (western spadefoot toad) is the source of this 173-nucleotide non-coding RNA. Lineage: Eukaryota; Metazoa; Chordata; Amphibia; Anura; Pelobatidae. The record is from the annotation of a GenBank genome assembly.
CAGCAGACACAUUCCAGCCAAUCAGCAGCAGACCCUCCCUCCCAGAUCCUCCCACCUCCUGGACAGCUCACUAAGAAUGCAGCUUCACAUUGAAUGUAAAAUGGAUGCUGUCCAGGAGGUGGGAGGGUCUGGGAGGGAGGGUCUGCUGCUGAUUGGCUGGAAUGUGUCUUCUG